This 253-nucleotide ribosomal RNA is filed under the name uncultured bacterium. RNAcentral describes it as "partial 16S ribosomal RNA". It matches the Rfam family "Bacterial small subunit ribosomal RNA", at positions 524 to 776 of the family's 1533-position model. The record is from RNAcentral.
GACGAAGGUGGCGAGCGUUGUUCGGAAUCACUGGGCAUAAAGCGCACGUAGGCGGUGUCGUAAGUCGGAUGUGAAAUCCCUCGGCCUAACCGAGGAACUGCGUCCGAUACUGCGAUGCUUGAGGAUCAGAGGGGUGCAUGGAAUUUCUGGUGGAGCGGUGAAAUGCGUUGAUAUCGGAAGGAACUCCGGCGGCGAAAGCGAUGCACUGGCUGAUUUCUGACGCUGAGGUGCGAAAGCCAGGGGAGCAAACGGG